This 376-nucleotide ribosomal RNA is filed under the name uncultured bacterium. RNAcentral describes it as "bacterial SSU rRNA". It matches the Rfam family "Bacterial small subunit ribosomal RNA", at positions 524 to 898 of the family's 1533-position model. The record is from RNAcentral.
UACGUAGGGGGCGAGCGUUGUCCGGAAUUACUGGGUGUAAAGGGCGUGUAGGCGGGGAUGCAAGUUAUCGGUUAAAACCCAAGGCUCAACCUUGGGCUUGCCGGUAAAACUGUGUCUCUUGAGUAUAGGAGAGGGAAGUGGAAUUCCCGGAGUAGCGGUGAAAUGCGUAGAUACCGGGAGGAACACCAGUGGCGAAGGCGGCUUCCUGGCCUAUUACUGACGCUGAGGCGCGAAAGCUAGGGUAGCGAACGGGAUUAGAUACCCCGGUAGUCCUAGCCGUAAACGAUGGUUACUAGGUGUGGGUGGUGGUCAAGCCAUCCGUGCCGGAGCUAACGCAAUAAGUAACCCACCUGGGGAGUACGGCCGCAAGGUUGAA